RNAcentral lists this transfer RNA (74 nucleotides) under Actinomycetota bacterium. RNAcentral's name for it is "tRNA-Gln". It matches the Rfam family "tRNA". Rfam says of the family: Transfer RNA (tRNA) molecules are approximately 80 nucleotides in length. Their secondary structure includes four short double-helical elements and three loops (D, anti-codon, and T loops). The record is from RNAcentral. Lineage: Bacteria; Bacillati; Actinomycetota.
UGCCCUCUCGUCCAAAGGCAAGACAGCGGACUCUGAAUCCGCGAAUCGAGGUUCGAGUCCUCGGGGGGCAACCA